This 59-nucleotide transfer RNA is filed under the name Vorticeros sp. n. MW-2019. Its description in RNAcentral is "tRNA-Ser". The record is from RNAcentral. Lineage: Eukaryota; Metazoa; Platyhelminthes; Prolecithophora; Plagiostomidae.
GGGAUUUAUUAAUAUUUAUUUUGAACAUAAAUUAAGUAGUUUGGUAAUUACAAAUCCCU